This 254-nucleotide ribosomal RNA is filed under the name uncultured bacterium. RNAcentral's name for it is "partial 16S ribosomal RNA". It matches the Rfam family "Bacterial small subunit ribosomal RNA", at positions 524 to 776 of the family's 1533-position model. The record is from RNAcentral.
GACAGAGGGCGCAAACGUUGCUCGGAAUUACUGGGCGUAAAGCGCGUGUAGGCGGGCUUGCAAGUCGGGUGUGAAAUCCCUGGGCUCAACCCAGGAACUGCAUCCGAAACUGCAAGUCUUGAGUGGUGGAGAGGGAUGGCGGAAUUCCGGGUGUAGAGGUGAAAUUCGUAGAUAUCCGGAGGAACACCAGUGGCGAAGGCGGCCUCCUGGACACCUACUGACGCUGAGACGCGAAAGCGUGGGGAGCAAACAGG